AGCAGGCCCGAAAGCUAGAAGAACGGGAGGCGACUGCCCAUGAGUCUCUAACAUUGGAAGGGAUCAGCGAGCCAGGGAAGACAGCCUUCUAGACUGAGGCAAGAGCAGGUACAAAGGUCCUGGGGUCACAGAGAGAGACCCAAUUCAGACGGACCAAAGGACGCCCAGGUGACCUGGUGUAAAGAAUGAACUGGCAGCUGGAAUAAGUCAAACCCUGGCCCAGAUGUGAGAGCUCUGGAGCCAUUCCGGAGACUGUCAUUUCAGGACACCAGCCAGGGACACGGCCCAACUGCACCGCUUCCUCUAGAGAGACAACAGAGAGGAAGAACGGAAACCGGCCACUGCAGUGGUCCAAGCAAACAAGGAAUGGUGUAGACCAGGAGGAUGAUGGGGACCGAGAGAUCUAGUCACAAUCUGCACUGAAUGUGAGGUGAGGUUGGGAGGGGUCAUUAAAAGGAUCCAUGGGAGAUGACUGGAGUUUCUACUUACUACGAGGGUCUCUUGACAAAGGACUGGCUUUGGCAGUGAAGACUUGGGACCACUUCAGCUGCAGGAGCCAGGGCACCUUUACAGCUCAGGAGACCACCCAGGUUAGACAAGAGAUUAAGAAGGAACUGUGGAAGGUGCCAGCUGAAGCCACAGGCAAGGAUGAGUCACUGCGGGGAGGACAUGGGGCAAGCGGGUGGACGGAGGCCCCAGGACCUAGCUUUGCCAGGCGUCAGGACGAGAAGGGGCUUGGAGAGAGACAUGAGCCCAUCUGUACCAGGUUGGCAAGUGGCCAUCUACAAGGGGCCCCUGUGUACUGGGCACCCUGACAAGGCAGCCAGCAGUGACCUUGGAGCCAUUUCAAGGAAUAGCAGGUGGGAGGCAGCCCGUGGGGUGAGGAGUGUGGGCAGGGACAGAGUGUGAGCCGUUCCCCAGUUCUGGCUCCAAGGAGAAAAGGAGGAUUGCAAGUGUGCAGAGAGAUAUGAGACAGACAGAUGGAUACAGUGGGAGGGAGGGGGGAGAAUAGGCCUUGGAGCUUGAGAGGACUAUGGUGUAGAGGGAGAGACACCUGUCUCCACAGCCUCACACACGUCUGAGGUGUCACUCUGAGGGGAGUACUCUUAAGUCCAUAUAUCAGGUUAGUCAUUCAGGUCAAUGAAGAGCCAACCCACGGGAAGGAGUCCCUAAGUAUGGAAGGAAUCGCUUCCGGGGGACCCUGGGAAGGCUCUGAGACCUGCUGUGCUUUCCUCUUUCCAGAGCAAGGCUCAGCUCUGCAGCAGCUCGGCCUCCAACCCAAACAGAGAGGCCUAUACAACUAACAGAUGGUGCUACCUGGAAAUCCAGGACUGAGACAGGCAGGACUGUCACCGACAGGGACACGUCGCAGUGAUACAGUGUGGUAUUUUAGAACACAGUGAGUGACAAGGGUCAGUGGCUGCAGGGGGAGGAGAAGCUAUGGCAGAGGAGGAAAGGUCAGAGCCAAGUGCAGGCCAGUCCUCAGCUCUGCCAUGGACACCCUAGGUAUUAACUUGUAUCUGGGUGAACGACUUCUAAGAAAAAAAAGGAUAAUAAAUUCAAAAUAAAACCCGGCCAAACAGGGAGGGGCAUUUUCUGGGGCACUGUUUUCGAAUGCAAAAACCUGGGAGGCCCCCCUUCCCGGGCACAGUCAUCCUACCCUGGGGUCCCGUGGAGCCGCUUAGAGGGCGACUAGCGCCCUGCGGCACCUGAGCGCAUGGCUAGGACUGGAGUUUAGGAAAAAGAUGCGAUGGAGAGAAAAGAUCUAAGUUCACCUCCUCUCCCUGAAGACGGGGAGCUAAGCUCACAAUGAAGACACGUGAAACAACAACCAUUGCGUAAACCAAGUGCGUAAAGAAAUAUCAUAUAACCUCCACGAUAUCCUGUAUAAAACUGAAAAUAAAAAAAUGUUUGUUUUAUGCAUACAUUGAGAAGUUUACACAAAGAAUAGAACAUUUUUUGAAAUCUAAGGAAAACUAUAUUAAAUGUUAUAGAUGGCGGCCUCUGUAGAUGGGGAGGCUCCUACAGAGAAGAUAGGAGGGAAAGGCUGAACACCCUUACACAUGCCCUGUGGCAUGUGUUUAUCUUAGGCCCAUGCAAGGACUUUCCAUAGUCAUACUGCCCAAAGCAUGCAACAAGAGGGCACCGGAUUCUUACAGAUGGUCGUGAGCCACCAUGUGGUUGCUAGGAACUGAACUCAGGAUUUCUGGAAGAACAGCCAUUGCUCUUAACCACUGAGCCAUCUCUCCGGGCCCCUAAGGCUUGUUUCUAAGAAUUCAAAGACAAAUGAAAUAAAGGAAUCUAAAUACUCAUUUGUGACAUAAUCAAAAAAACUAAACACCAUACCUAAGCAUUACAAAAAGCUGCCACAGGGGUCUGGGAUAGAAUGCUAUGGGGUGGGAGGUCCUAUAAGUUCCAGAGCCUCCAGGGAUAGAGAUGGUUCCCUUCCCCACUUGAGGCCAUUUGGUGGUCCAUCCCUGCUAGGAUCUGCUGGAAAGACAAGAAUAAAAACCAGGAAAUCCUGCCACCUGCAUCCCUGGCAACACUGAUAACUGUUGUCUCUGGAACUGGAGUGUGAUUAGCAGAGUUAGACGAAUGCAUGACCACAAUCACAUUGAAAAUCAGAACCUGGGACGCAGGAACAAGAGAGCUCAAAUGCGAGAACCCGGAAGCCCUGGGAAAAUCAUCAGUAUGGAUCAUUAUGUAGUUCAACUUUGAAAAUGUAGCACACUGGUUAUUGUUUACUGAGUAUAAUUGCAUAAAAAUUACCCCCCCGAAUUUAGUGGCUUAAAACAUCAAACACUUAUUAUCUUGGGACUCCAGCUAUGGCUCAGCUGGGGCCUCUGGCUCACAAUCUCCAUGGAGGCUGUAGUCAAGGUAGUUGUGAAGCCUGCUACAAUCCUAAGGCCUUGACAAGAAAGAACAAUUCCAGGUUCCCUGCUGGGGCUCUUGGCAGAGGCUUGCCUGCUGGCCUCUCUGGGGGGCAGCUGAGGACCACAGCACAGCGGCUUGGCUCCCUUACAGAACAAGCAAGAGGGAGAGAAGCACAAACCAUUCUGCCUAUAGCCUAAUUUCAGAAGCAACAUCCUGUGCAUCACUCUUACCAGCUCAUGGUCAGGGUAGGGGUGAGGGGCUUGCGUGGCCGUGGGUAUCCGGAGAUAGGACUGCUGUGAGCUGUGUGCCACAUACCACAUGUGCCCACUUCCUAAGUGCUGCAGCCAGGAGCUUCAGCCUUGCCCCCAGAUUCCAGUAUCUAAAUAGCACUUCACCUCGCUCCAUGAUAAAAGAACUAAAAUGAUUCCGUUCCCAGGACAAAAUAGAUAAAUUACGCCAGUCUAUCGGAACAUAUUAACGCCAUCAUGAAAAGACUGCGGAACUGCCUUCAAAGGCCCGUUGGCUAGAGAUAUGGAAGCAUCCGUAAGCGAGUUGUCUUCAGGGACACCCCAUCAGGCUUUGUCAAGGAUGUCCCUAAGCCCACUGUUCACCUUUACAGGGUGGUCGGGAAACCCAUUCUUUUAAACAUCGUUGAAGAGCAGGACUCAAGACUUGGCCAGAUUUUCUUGUGUGCACUGUAAUCGUGACAACCAAAUGUCUGACAUGAGAAAGUUUGUCUGCAGAGGGGUUCAGAGAACCAACAGCAGGGAAACGAUGCUAUCACAAUAGCCAGUGAAUAGAUCUAGACAGUGAUUGAUCAUUUACUGCUGCUAAAAUCGUCAAAAGAGAGACAUCCAGAUACCGCGAGCCUCCUAAUAAAAGAUGUAAUGAUAUUUAUGAAGUUCUGCUCAAACAAACUGAUUAUGACUGCCUCAUAUCUAAACCCACCCUGACCAUUCUCCUGGAUGUGAACAGAGGACCAUGCAGACAGCACCAUCAGGAAGCCACCAAGGUAGCCCAGGGUGCAAAAAGUGCCACCAGGUGAAGGGUACAGAGACUUAUACUAUGCGUCAACAGGACCACUAUGAAAGAAAACAGUCACAGUCAGCUUUAAUUGUCAACAUGACGCAGUCAUCUGAACCAGCCUCCCUUGAGGAACUGUCUAGAUCAGAUGUGGGCAUGUCUGUGGGGCCUUGUCUUGAUUGCUAAUCGAUGGAGGAGAACCCAGCUCGUUAUGGGCAGUACUUUUCCUCACCCUGGUGCUGGGUUAUAUAAGAAAGCUGGGUAAGCACGUUAGCAAGCCAACGAGCAGCAAUUGCUCCAGGGUUCCUGAUCCAAGCUCCCGCUUGAACCCUGCUCUGGCUUCCCUCGAAGAUGACUAUCACUGGCAAAGGUAAACCAAAUAGACCUCUCUCCAAAGUUGGUUUUGGUCAUGGUGUUUUCCUCACAGUACAGAAAGAAAAUUAGAGGGGGAAAAAAGAUUAGUGCAGGAUCUGUAAGAGACAGCAGAGGAUUAUAAACUUUAUCAACCAGGCUCAGUAGGGGAGCUUGUGUAGAUGUCUACUCAGAGGGACGCCAUGCACGGGCAAAUGCAAACACUAGCUGGCACCGAAGGACACGUAGAAAAGACCGAUAGCUUUAGUUGCUGCACUGGCAUUGAAAUUAUUUUUAGUAGAGUUCCCAUAUUUAAAGAUACAAAAUUGGAAUACUUAGAGGAAAAACGAGAUUGCUUUAGAGAUCAGGGGAGAACGGGGAUAGAGGUUAAGCACCGCAGGUCGUAAAGAGGUGGUGACUGUGGGUCUGAAGCUGGUGACAGUGCAGGGCGAUAGGUAUGGCUUUGGUUCUGACUUCUGCAUGUGUAAAACUUUUACAAUAAUGAAGUAAAAGGGUGGGCGCUGAUUUGUCGUUGUUGUUGCUAUUGUUUGUAACUCGUGGUGUUUCCCAUUCUUAUUAUACAAGCUGAUCUUCUACCCAUUUUCUACUGAAUUCAUGGAGACAAGAAGACAAAGUGACGGGAAACAAAGGAGGAUGGAAAACAAUCUAGUUUGCAGAUGUGAAGCACAUCAUUUACCACUUGAAUUAUUUCCAGUGUACGGUUUAAAGUGCAUUGAUGCUGUACAGCCAGCCAUCCCCACCAUCCGUUCCAAGGACACACUUCAUAAUCCAACAUUGAACCUGGGAUGGAGAGACCGCUCGGCUGUUAGGUGCGUGCUCUGCUUCCAGAGAUCCUCAGUCCCCAGACACACAGCUGCCCUUAACUCCAGCUCCGGGGGGGGGGGAGUCUGCCAUCUUCUUCUGGCCUUCACGGGCACUCAUAUAGAUACUUACAAAUAAAUAAAAAUAAAGGCAAA
This is a non-coding RNA of Rattus norvegicus (Norway rat), 5225 nucleotides long. The record is from RefSeq and is a predicted model, not a curated record. NCBI's taxonomy places the organism in Eukaryota, Metazoa, Chordata, Mammalia, Rodentia, Muridae.